Molecule: unclassified non-coding RNA, 1194 nt
Filed under: Hevea brasiliensis (rubber tree)
Lineage: Eukaryota; Viridiplantae; Streptophyta; Magnoliopsida; Malpighiales; Euphorbiaceae
Source: RNAcentral
UCUUGGGUUUUCUUAUAAGUUGACUGCUGCGAGAAGAAACUUGGCUCUUUUUCAGCAUCAUGAUGGGGUCACUGGUACUGCGAAGGACCAUGUGGUGCAGGACUAUGGAACACGGAUGCACUUGGCUCUGCAAGACCUUCAAAUUUUUAUGUCUAAGGCUAUUGAGGUGUUACUAGGGAUCCGGCAUGAUAGAAAUGACCAACCUCCUUCUCAGUUUGAACCAGCACAGUCAAGAUCUAAAUAUGAUGCCCAACCAGUGGUUAAAGCCAUCAGCGCUCGUGAAGGAACUGUUCAGACAGUGGUCCUUUUCAAUCCAUCAGAGCAGACAAGAAAUGAAGUUGUCAUGGUAACUGUUGAGAGGCCGGAUGUAACAAUCUUGGACUCAAACUGGACAUGUAUUAAAAGCCAGAUAUCUCCAGAGUUGUCACAUGAUAAGAGAAGUACUUUAUCUAGAAGACAUCGUGUGUACUGGAAAGCUUCAGUACCUGCCAUGGGAUUGCAAACGUAUUAUGUUGCGAAUGGAUUUGCUGGAUGUGAGAAGGCAGUACCUGCACAACUUAGAAUAUCAGUGUCUUCUGGAAAUAUAUCCUGCCCAUCACCAUACGCUUGCUCAAAGUUUGAGAGCAACGAAGCAGCAAUCCAGAAUGAACAUCUGACACUUACCUUUAGUACCAAGUUUGGUUUGUUGCAGAAAGUAAGCCAUAGUGAUGGUAGACAAAAUGUUAUUGGUGAAGAAAUUGAUAUGUACUCUAGCACAGGUGGAGCCUACCUGUUCAAACCGGAGGGUGAGGCUCAGCCAAUCAUACAAGGUGGUGGGAUUAUGAUUAUCUCGGAGGGCCAUUUGGUACAGGAGGUCUAUUCUUACCCAAAGACAGCAUGGGACAAGUCUCCAAUUUCCCAUAGCACCCGUAUAUAUAACGGUCACAAUACCAUACAGGAACACAUUAUUGAGAAGGAGUAUCAUGUUGAGCUUCUUGGUCAUGAACUCAACGACAGGGAAUUGAUAGUUAGGUACAAGACUGAUAUUGAAAACAAAAGGAUUUUCUAUUCUGAUCUAAAUGGAUUCCAAAUGAGCCGUAGAGAAUCUUAUGAUAAGAUCCCUACACAGGGCAACUAUUACCCAAUACCUUCUGUUGCAUUUAUGCAAGGACUACAUGGAGAGCGCUUCUCUGUCCACACUAGGCAGUCUUUGGG